This 200-nucleotide long non-coding RNA is filed under the name Nicotiana benthamiana. RNAcentral's name for it is "long non-coding RNA (NBEN_LNC025184)". The record is from RNAcentral. Lineage: Eukaryota; Viridiplantae; Streptophyta; Magnoliopsida; Solanales; Solanaceae.
UUGAUCGUCAUUGGAUGUUGCGGGCAAAAUCGAGAGGCGACAUCGCUCGUGGCGGCUGAUGGCUUUUGACAACACAACGGUAAAGCGUCAUGCAUGUAGCGCCGCAAGGUGCCGUGCGCAUGGGGCGAAGCUUAGUAAGUUGUUGUUGAUUGCCAUCGGUUGUUGUGUGUUGUGUCUGGAAUCUCUCAUGGCGGCUGAUG